UACAGAGGUCCCAAGCGUUGUUCGGAUUUAUUGGGCGUAAAGGGUGCGUAGGCGGCGGAGUAAGUUGGGUGUGAAAUCCCGGGGCUCAACCCCGGAACUGCACUUGAUACUGCGUGGCUAGGGUACUGGAGAGGAGACUGGAAUUUACGGUGUAGCAGUGAAAUGCGUAGAUAUCGUAAGGAAGACCAGUGGCGAAGGCGAGUCUCUGGACAGUUACCGACGCUGAGGCACGAAGGCCAGGGGAGCAAACGGG
Molecule: ribosomal RNA, 253 nt
Filed under: uncultured bacterium
Lineage: Bacteria
Description: partial 16S ribosomal RNA
Rfam family: Bacterial small subunit ribosomal RNA
Source: RNAcentral